AAGUCGUAACAAGGUUUCCGUAGGUGAACCUGCGGAAGGAUCAUUAUCACGUUAUCCACGUAUCAACCAUUGUGAACUAGUAUUAGACCUUUGGAUUAAGAAAGGUAGUGUUAUGUUAAACCGUUAUCAAACAAUAAUGAUUGGAAAUUGUUGAGGUUUAAUGCGACCAAACAAAUUCGUUUGUUUACUUUCUGAUUCAAAGUGUAUUUUUUUCAAUCAAUUAUUACAUUAACCAUUUAAACCCAAAAUUUUUCUAAAUUUUGAACUGAUUUAAUUUCUUACUCUCUAAACAAGAGAAGAAAUAAAUGAUUACGAAACAUAAGAACAACUCUUAGCAACGGAUAUCUUGGUUCUC
RNAcentral lists this unclassified non-coding RNA (355 nucleotides) under fungal sp. Its description in RNAcentral is "partial internal transcribed spacer region". The stretch from base 1 to 46 matches the Rfam family "Eukaryotic small subunit ribosomal RNA", at positions 1786 to 1831 of the family's 1831-position model. Lineage: Eukaryota; Fungi. The record is from RNAcentral.